GUCGAGCGGUAGAGAGGAGCUUGCUUCUCUUGAGAGCGGCGGACGGGUGAGUAAUGCCUAGGAAUCUGCCUAGUGGUGGGGGAUAACGUUCGGAAACGGACGCUAAUACCGCAUACGUCCUACGGGAGAAAGCGGGGGACCUUCGGGCCUCGCGCCAUUAGAUGAGCCUAGGUCGGAUUAGCUAGUUGGUGAGGUAACGGCUCACCAAGGCGACGAUCCGUAACUGGUCUGAGAGGAUGAUCAGUCACACUGGAACUGAGACACGGUCCAGACUCCUACGGGAGGCAGCAGUGGGGAAUAUUGGACAAUGGGCGAAAGCCUGAUCCAGCCAUGCCGCGUGUGUGAAGAAGGUCUUCGGAUUGUAAAGCACUUUAAGUUGGGAGGAAGGGUAGUAACUUAAUACGUUGCUACUUUGACGUUACCGACAGAAUAAGCACCGGCUAACUUCGUGCCAGCAGCCGCGGUAAUACGAAGGGUGCAAGCGUUAAUCGGAAUUACUGGGCGUAAAGCGCGCGUAGGUGGUUCAGUAAGUUGGAAGUGAAAUCCCCGGGCUCAACCUGGGAACUGCUUUCAAAACUGCUGAGCUAGAGUACGGUAGAGGGUGGUGGAAUUUCCUGUGUAGCGGUGAAAUGCGUAGAUAUAGGAAGGAACACCAGUGGCGAAGGCGACCACCUGGACUGAUACUGACACUGAGGUGCGAAAGCGUGGGGAGCAAACAGGAUUAGAUACCCUGGUAGUCCACGCCGUAAA
Molecule: ribosomal RNA, 750 nt
Filed under: uncultured bacterium
Lineage: Bacteria
Description: bacterial SSU rRNA
Rfam family: Bacterial small subunit ribosomal RNA
Source: RNAcentral